GUCACGUUCAGGCCGGGACUGUGCUUCAAACGGGAAUACACGAGAAGAAAUGUCCAAUCCUCAUCCUCAUGUCUAUACUCGAGUGUAAACCUCAAAAUGUCCACAAAGAGACACAACACAACUUCAAAGAGACACAACACAACUACAAAGAGACACAACACAACUACAAAGAGACACAACACAACUACAAAGAGACACAACACAACUUCAAAGAGACACAACACAACUUCAAAGAGACACAACACAACUACAAAGAGACACAACACAACUACAAAGAGACACAACACAACUACAAAGAGACACAACACAACUUCAAAGAGACACAACACAACUUCAAAGAGACACAACACAACUACAAAGAGACACAACACAACUACAAAGAGACACAACACAACUACAAAGAGACACAACUACAAAGAGACACAACACAACUUCAAAGAGACACAACACAACUACAAAGAGACACAACACAACUACAAAGAGACACAACACAACUACAAAGAGACACAACACAACUACAAAGAGACACAACAACUACAAAGAGACACAACACAACUACAAAGAGACACAACAACUACAAAGAGACACAACAACUACAAAGAGACACAACACAACUACAAAGAGACACCAACAACUACAAAGAGACACAACACAACUACAAAGAGACACAACACAACUUCAAAGAGACACAACACAACUUCAAAGAGACACAACACAACUACAAAGAGACACAACACAACUUCAAAGAGACACAACACAACUUCAAAGAGACACAACACAACUUCAAAGAGACACAACAACUACAAAGAGACACAACACAACUACAAAGAGACACAACACAACUACAAAGAGACACAACAACUACAAAGAGACACAACACAACUACAAAGAGGCUCCAUAACAUACAGUCUGGCUCCUGGGGGAGAGCUGAGGCCUUCAUGUCUGUAUCGAGGGGCCCAUUGUCUCAUAAUCCACCAACGAUCAGCGUCACUGGUCUGUAAACUUUGCCUCCAAAGUUAAGUUGUGCUUUAUAUUAAGAGUUAAAUGAACAUUUAUAGCAUCAGAUUUGUUCGCAGGUAUAAAGUAAAUAUAAGUUU
RNAcentral lists this long non-coding RNA (1097 nucleotides) under Cottoperca gobio. Its description in RNAcentral is "lncRNA (ENSCGOG00000018648.1)". The record is from RNAcentral. Lineage: Eukaryota; Metazoa; Chordata; Actinopteri; Perciformes; Bovichtidae.